Molecule: transfer RNA, 68 nt
Filed under: Candidatus Uhrbacteria bacterium
Lineage: Bacteria; Candidatus Uhriibacteriota
Description: tRNA-Asp
Source: RNAcentral
GGGCCGGGCGUUGGUACGCGGAGCGGACUGUCACUCUGCUCUUGGGGGUUCGAUUCCCCUCCGGUCCA